CCUACGGGUGGCAGCAGUGGGGAAUAUUGCGCAAUGGGCGAAAGCCUGACGCAGCUACGCCGCGUGAGUGAUUGAAGGUCUUCGGAUCGUAAAGCUCUGUCGGGAGGGACGAAGGGGCAACCCUGACGGUACCUCGCAAGAAAGCACCGGCUAACUCUGUGCCAGCAGCCGCGGUAAUACAGAGGGUGCAAGCGUUGUUCGGAUUUACUGGGCGUAAAGCGCACGCAGACGGUAUGAAAGGUCGGACGUGAAAGCCCUGGGCUCAACCCAGGAACUGCGUUCGAAACCAUCAUGCUAGAGUAUGGGAGAGGGAGGCGGAAUUCCUGGUGUAGAGGUGAAAUUCGUAGAUAUCAGGAGGAACACCUGCGGCGAAGGCGGCUUCCUGGCCCAUAACUGACGUUCAGGUGCGAAAGCGCGGGGAGCAAACAGGAUUAGAUACCCCAGUAGUC
RNAcentral lists this ribosomal RNA (449 nucleotides) under uncultured bacterium. Its description in RNAcentral is "bacterial SSU rRNA". It matches the Rfam family "Bacterial small subunit ribosomal RNA", at positions 338 to 795 of the family's 1533-position model. The record is from RNAcentral.